UGAGGAAUAUUGGUCAAUGGACGAGAGUCUGAACCAGCCAAGUAGCGUGAAGGAUGACUGCCCUAUGGGUUGUAAACUUCUUUUAUACAGGAAUAAAGUGAGGCACGUGUGCCUUUUUGUAUGUACCGUAUGAAUAAGGAUCGGCUAACUCCGUGCCAGCAGCCGCGGUAAUACGGAGGAUCCGAGCGUUAUCCGGAUUUAUUGGGUUUAAAGGGAGCGUAGGCGGGUUGUUAAGUCAGUUGUGAAAGUUUGCGGCUCAACCGUAAAAUUGCAGUUGAUACUGGCGACCUUGAGUGCAACAGAGGUAGGCGGAAUUCGUGGUGUAGCGGUGAAAUGCUUAGAUAUCACGAAGAACUCCGAUUGCGAAGGCAGCUUACUGGAUUGUAACUGACGCUGAUGCUCGAAAGUGUGGGUAUCAAACAGGAUUAGAUACCCUGGUAGUCCACACAGUAAACGAUGAAUACUCGCUGUUGGCGAUAUACGGUCAGCGGCCAAGCGAAAGCAUUAAGUAUUCCACCUGGGGAGUACGCCGGCAACGGUGAAACUCAAAGGAAUUGACGGGGGCCCGCACAAGCGGAGGAACAUGUGGUUUAAUUCGAUGAUACGCGAGGAACCUUACCCGGGCUUAAAUUGCAACUGACUGAACCGGAAACGGUUCUUUCUUCGGACAGUUGUGAAGGUGCUGCAUGGUUGUCGUCAGCUCGUGCCGUGAGGUGUCGGCUUAAGUGCCAUAACGAGCGCAACCCUUAUCGAUAGUUACUAGCAGGUCAUGCUGAGGACUCUAUUGAGACUGCCGUCGUAAGAUGUGAGGAAGGUGGGGAUGACGUCAAAUCAGCACGGCCCUUACGUCCGGGGCUACACACGUGUUACAAUGGGGGGUACAGAAGGCAGCUACACGGCGACGUGGUGCUAAUCCCGAAAGCCUCUCUCAGUUCGGAUUGGAGUCUGCAACCCGACUCCAUGAAGCUGGAUUCGCUAGUAAUCGCGCAUCAGCCACGGCGCGGUGAAUACGUUCCC
Molecule: ribosomal RNA, 1017 nt
Filed under: uncultured organism
Description: bacterial SSU rRNA
Rfam family: Bacterial small subunit ribosomal RNA
Source: RNAcentral